AGCAGUCGCCACGGGAAAUACGUAGGUGGCAAGCGUUGUCCGGAAUUAUUGGGCGUAAAGCGCGCGCAGGUGGUUUAAUAAGUCUGAUGUGAAAGCCCACGGCUCAACCGUGGAGGGUCAUUGGAGACUGUUAAACUUGAGUGCAGGAGAGAAAAGUGGAAUUCCUAGUGUAGCGGUGAAAUGCGUAGAGAUUAGGAGGAACACCAGUGGCGAAGGCGGCUUUUUGGCCUGUAACUGACACUGAGGCGCGAAAGCGUGGGUAGCAAACAGGAUUAGAUACCCCCGUAGUCCCUGUCUCUUAUA
Molecule: ribosomal RNA, 303 nt
Filed under: uncultured bacterium
Lineage: Bacteria
Description: partial 16S ribosomal RNA
Rfam family: Bacterial small subunit ribosomal RNA
Source: RNAcentral